RNAcentral lists this ribosomal RNA (763 nucleotides) under uncultured bacterium. RNAcentral's name for it is "bacterial SSU rRNA". It matches the Rfam family "Bacterial small subunit ribosomal RNA", at positions 133 to 916 of the family's 1533-position model. The record is from RNAcentral.
GUACACACGGAUAACAUACCGAAAGGUAUGCUAAUACGAGAUAAAAUACUUUUAUCGCAUGGUAGAAGUAUCAAAGCUUUUGCGGUACAGGAUGGACCCGCGUCUGAUUAGCUAGUUGGUAAGGUAACGGCUUACCAAGGCGACGAUCAGUAGCCGACCUGAGAGGGUGAUCGGCCACAUUGGAACUGAGACACGGUCCAAACUCCUACGGGAGGCAGCAGUGGGGAAUAUUGCACAAUGGGCGAAAGCCUGAUGCAGCAACGCCGCGUGAGCGAUGAAGGCCUUCGGGUCGUAAAGCUCUGUCCUCAAGGAAGAUAAUGACGGUACUUGAGGAGGAAGCCCCGGCUAGCUACGUGCCAGCAGCCGCGGUAAUACGUAGGGGGCUAGCGUUAUCCGGAAUUACUGGGCGUAAAGGGUGCGUAGGUGGUUUCUUAAGUCAGAGGUGAAAGGCUACGGCUCAACCGUAGUAAGCCUUUGAAACUGGGAAACUUGAGUGCAGGAGAGGAGAGUGGAAUUCCUAGUGUAGCGGUGAAAUGCGUAGAUAUUAGGAGGAACACCAGUUGCGAAGGCGGCUCUCUGGACUGUAACUGACACUGAGGCACGAAAGCGUGGGGAGCAAACAGGAUUAGAUACCCUGGUAGUCCACGCCGUAAACGAUGAGUACUAGCUGUCGGAGGUUACCCCCUUCGGUGGCGCAGCUAACGCAUUAAGUACUCCGCCUGGGAAGUACGCUCGCAAGAGUGAAACUCAAAGGAAUUGACGG